This 454-nucleotide ribosomal RNA is filed under the name uncultured bacterium. RNAcentral describes it as "bacterial SSU rRNA". It matches the Rfam family "Bacterial small subunit ribosomal RNA", at positions 917 to 1382 of the family's 1533-position model. The record is from RNAcentral.
GGCCCCGCACAAGCAGCGGAGCGUGUGGUUUAAUUCGAUGUUACACGAAGAACCUUACCUGGGUUUGACAUGUACGUGGUAGGGAAGCGAAAGCGGACCGACCCUUCGGGGAGCGUACACAGGUGCUGCAUGGCUGUCGUCAGCUCGUGCCGUGAGGUGUCGGGUUAAGUCCCGUAACGAGCGCAACCCCUGUCCUUAGUUACAAGUGUCUAAGGGGACUGCCGGCGGUAAGCCGGAGGAAGGUGGGGAUGACGUCAAGUCAGCAUGGCCCUUAUGUCCAGGGCUACACACACGCUACAAUGGCCAGUACAACGGGCAGCGAAACCGCGAGGUGGAGCGAAUCUCAGCAAAGCUGGUCAUAGUUCGGAUUGCAGGCUGCAACUCGCCUGCAUGAAGCUGGAGUUGCUAGUAACCGCGCGUCAGCUAUAGUGCGGUGAAUACGUUCCCGGGGCUU